UUUCGCAAUGCCCGAAAGGGUGACGAAGCGACGUCGCGUGGGUGAUGAAGGCCCUUGGGUCGUAAAGCCCUGUCAAGAGUUAAGAAAGCAGCUUUGCUGUUUGACGAAGGCUCUAAAGGAAGUCACGGCUAACUCUGUGCCAGCAGCCGCGGUAAUACAGAGGUGGCAAGCGUUGUUCGGAAUUAUUGGGCGUAAAGAGCACGUAGGUGGUCAGAUAAGUCAGAUGUAAAAUAUCUUUGCUCAACAAAGAACCUGCAUUUGAAACUGUUUGACUAGAGUACGGAAGGGGAGAAUGGAAUUUCUGAUGGAGCGGUGAAAUGUGUAGAUAUCAGAAGGAACGCCGGUGGCGAAAGCGAUUCUCUAGUACGUAACUGACACUGAGGUGCGAAAGCUAGGGGAGCAAACAGGAUUAGAUACCCUGGUAGUCCUAGCCGUAAACGAUGGGCACUAAGUAGAGGGGUUUUU
RNAcentral lists this ribosomal RNA (465 nucleotides) under uncultured anaerobic ammonium-oxidizing bacterium. RNAcentral's name for it is "bacterial SSU rRNA". It matches the Rfam family "Bacterial small subunit ribosomal RNA", at positions 364 to 833 of the family's 1533-position model. The record is from RNAcentral.